RNAcentral lists this ribosomal RNA (307 nucleotides) under uncultured Glomus. Its description in RNAcentral is "SSU rRNA". It matches the Rfam family "Eukaryotic small subunit ribosomal RNA", at positions 569 to 883 of the family's 1831-position model. The record is from RNAcentral. Lineage: Eukaryota; Fungi; Glomeromycota; Glomeromycetes; Glomerales; Glomeraceae.
AGCAGCCGCGGUAAUUCCAGCUCCAAUAGCGUAUAUUAAAGUUGUUGCAGUUAAAAAGCUCGUAGUUGAAUUUCGGGAUCAAUACGUCGGUCGUGCUUCGGUACGUACUGGCGUAAUUGAUUUCUCCCUUCUGACGAACCAUGAUGUCAUUAACUUGGUGUCAUGGGAAAUCAGGACUGUUACUUUGAAAAAUUAGAGUGUUUAAAGCAGGCUCACGCUUGAAUACAUUAGCAUGGAAUAAUGAAAUAGGACGUUCGAUCCUAUUUGUUGGUUUUUAGGAUCAACGUAAUGAUUAAUAGGGAUAGUU